UUUUUUUUUUUUUAAGAAAAAAUAAACUGAAGUUAAAAGAAAGCACAUAUUUUUGCUAUAUCAAAUAAAAAUCUAGUUUACAGGGGAUCCUUGGAUGGCUCAGUGGUUUAGCGCCUGUCUUCAGCCCAGGGUGUGAUCCUGGAGACCCGGGAUCGAGUCCCACGUCGGGCUCCCUACAUAGAGCGGCUUCUGCCUGUGUCUCUGCCUGUGUCUCUCUCUCUGUGCUUCUCAUGAAUAAAUAAAUAAAAUCUUUAAAAUUAAAAAAAAAAAGUCUAGUUUACAAACAGAAAUACUAAAUGGUAAGAUUUGGUCAGUAUGUGAUCAAAGCUUUGAAUUUCCACAGGUACCAUUCUUUUCUUAUACUUUACCUUUUUGACAGUAGGAAGUCAGGCUCUGUCUGUCACUUCAUCUUGUGGCCUGAAACCAAAGGUCAUGGCGUUAUUUUCAUGACAAGCUACAAACAAAAACAAAAACUCCUAUUCCUAAAUUUGCUAAUUGUAUAUUCAAAGUAGAAAUCACAUUUCCCUUCUAUUCAGGAUUUGCCCAUAUAACAAUACAGCAAACUUCUUUAUAUGUAAAACUUUUCAGAUCAACUCAGCUUUAAUACUCAACCCUGGGGCAGCCCAGGUGGCUCAGUGGUUUAGCGCCACCUUCAGCCCAGGGCGUGAUCCUGGAGACCUGGGAUCAAGUCCCACGUCAGGCUCCUUGCAUGGAGCCUGUUUCUCCCUCUGCCUGUGUCUCUGCCUCUCUCUCUCUCUCUCUCUCUCUCUCUGUCUCUCAUGAAUAAAUAAAUAAAAUCUUUUAAAAAAUAAUAAUCAACCAUAUACAAUGUGUGGGUUAAAUAACUCUAACUUCCUUCCUGGGGGGUGGGGAGGGGAGAUAGAAAUUUGACCUUCCUUUGCUUUUUUUUUUUAAUUUUUGGUUGAACAUUUGUAUCACGAAUUAGCCCACAAACCAAAUGAGCAUAAAUUGGUUUGUUUCUUUUUUUUUAAAGAGCCACCAAUUUUGGUGAAUUUUCAUUUUGGUUUACUUUUAAUUUAACAUUUUAGAUUGGUUGGUUGUUUUUUUUUUUUUAAAGACAGCCACCAAAUAUUGACUCAUAUCGUCUUAUCUAUUCAUCUUCUAAUUCGAUUGUUGGUUCUCUUGACUGUCUGAUACCAAUCGCCCACUGGUAUAACAUCCAGAGAGUUGUAGAAUCCUCUUGGUGGCAUUUUCAAUGUGUGAUUCCACCACCUUCAUCCAUAUAUAAACACACCACAUAAAGACAAGCUAAAUGACCCAGCAGGAUUUAAGAGAAGUGUAGCUCAGAGUUUAUAUUUCUGCGUAACUCCUGAUACUCUAAUCCAGUAUGAAGGGAAGAGAAAUCUAACAAGGUUGACUUACUGAGUCUGUAAUGUCCUGUUUUAAUACCCAGCUAUUUUUCACUCUUUGUGACUGAAUUUCCAGGGGUAUAUAUAGAGGAAGAACUAGUUAUACACAUUUAGUGAAAAGGAACGUUCCAUCUCCGUGUCUGUAGGGUGCCAGCUGACCUAAGAGUAGACUGAUACAAUCAAGUUAAAUUCAUACUUAUUAAUAUGCAAAGCACUCUACUAGGGAUACGGAGACAUUUAAGAUAAGCUUAGGAGCUGGGCCUAAGGAGUUUUUAGGGAAAAUAAUAUACUUUAUCAAAAGUGGAGACCUACUUGUGCUAAAAGAAAUUAGUCUUCCCUCUAGUUUUAAAUUUUUUUAGGGGCUCCUGGGUGGC
Molecule: long non-coding RNA, 1744 nt
Filed under: Canis lupus familiaris (dog)
Lineage: Eukaryota; Metazoa; Chordata; Mammalia; Carnivora; Canidae
Description: lncRNA (ENSCAFG00000056301.1)
Source: RNAcentral